GUAUUCAAAAAUUACUCGUUAGUGAAUGAUAUUAUGAAAACGUAAAGAAAAUAUCGACGAAUAAUAUUACGUUCACGUGUCCCUAUUUAAUUUUGUGUUACGAGAUCUUCCCACCAUGUCAAUGGUGAAUCGAAUACGAAUCUAAUGGCAUUGGUGGCAGCUUCAACAUCUGUAUCUUUUUCUACUGAAAGAAUCACUUGUCGUUUCACAAAUUCACUCUUCAAAUCCAAUUUUAUUACGAAGCUUAACAAUCUAGACUCACCAUUGCAGCAAUGGCAAACAAGAUCAAGAACCUCGUUUAUUAUGCAUAACCAUAGUGUUAUUGAUUCAUAUAAAGGUGUAAAACGAGUUUCAUUUCAGCUUCCUCUGUUACGAUUACCUCUUCGUGUUGCUCCUAGUUCAUCUCUUCCGUUUCUGCACAAAUUCAUUUCAUCUCCUAUGUCUUCCUUAAGUUCCGACGCUAACCCUGAUGUUAAAACGGUUAGAGCUGUGAUAAAAGGGAGAGUGCAAGGGGUGUUUUACAGGGACUGGACUGUGGAGAAUGCUAAGGAAUUGGGAUUGAAAGGUUGGGUUCGAAAUCGGAGGGAUGGAUCGGUGGAAGCUUUGUUUUCUGGAAGCCCGGAAAAAGUUCAGGAAAUGGAGCAGAGGUGUCGGAGGGGUCCAUCAUCUGCUAUUGUCACUGGACUAGAUGUCGUCCCCUGUGAUGAUGACCCUGGAGCUGGGUUCGAACGCAAACAAACUGCGUGAUCAUAGGCUAGCCUUUUGUUUGCCAAGCAAAUCAAAGACGAUGAGUUGACUGGAAGCUUUUACUCCAUCACAGCUAAAACAUUCAGUAAGAUUUACUUUUAUGUAGUUUCAGUAUCCCCGCAUCGGUUGUGAUUGAUGAGAAAUGUGGACGUAAGCUUGUUUAAGGAGCUGAGUUACGCCCAAGAUUCAUUUUCUUAUCACGUGACAAAUGGUAGUUGAGGAAAGUAUGGUACAAUAAGUUGAGGCCCUUGAUAUUUUAUCGAUACACAGUCCUAGAUAUACAUAUAUUUUCGUAUUUGUUGAUUAUUUUUAAUUUAAACGGUUGAGUGAACAACUCUGUUAGUUCUUAAGAGAAAAAGAUAUGGAACCAAUUAUAUGACUUUGACCUUUUGAAUACUUUUUCUGUACAACAUUUUAGACUAUGAGUUGAAGAUUUGAUCUUUCAUGGAUUUGAGUUCGAAA
Non-coding RNA from Solanum lycopersicum (tomato), 1209 nucleotides. The record is from RefSeq and is a predicted model, not a curated record. NCBI's taxonomy places the organism in Eukaryota, Viridiplantae, Streptophyta, Magnoliopsida, Solanales, Solanaceae.